Molecule: long non-coding RNA, 1137 nt
Filed under: Gadus morhua (Atlantic cod)
Lineage: Eukaryota; Metazoa; Chordata; Actinopteri; Gadiformes; Gadidae
Description: lncRNA (ENSGMOG00000024753.1)
Source: RNAcentral
CUCAACUUCGCCAUCUGUGAAGGUAUCUCCAGGGGUAAAUUGAUUAAAUAGCUACCUCUUUUGAAUUGUCAACUGUCUAUUGUAUUAGAGGUCCUUUUAUGAUGCAUAUACUGACAUUUAUUUGUAUAUGCACAGCGUAAUUAUAUAUAUUUUUAUCUUGGUAGACGACCGAUUGCCUGCUGAUUUGUGAGCUCGACUUCGACAUGUGAAGGUAUCUACACCAACAAUUACGAAGUUCAUUAGUGAAUCUAACUUUUAUUUAGUUUAUUUAUGUUGGAUUACUAGGAUCAUUUAGGUUGAUUUAAGGACGGGUUUUAUGAUGCGAUAGCUAGUAGAAAUAACAGUGCGUUUGUUUAAUUAUAUCCUGGAAAGGGUGAUGUUCAGCACAUGAAGCCCUACAGAUGCCGCCGCUUCAACAAUGCUGAUUAUGAUGGGCGGUGAAUUUAACCUUUGCCUUAUUAGGUCCUCCAGUCGCCCCAUCAGUCCCUGGCAGUCUGGUCCCUGGAGCAGCUGGCCCUGGAUCACCUGCACCUGGAUCACCUGCCCCUGGAUCACCUGCCCCUGGAUCACCUGCCACUGGAUCACCUACCCCUGGAUCACCUGCCCCUGGAUCACCUGCCCCUGGAUCACCUGCCCCUGGCAAAGUGGCCUCUGGAUUGCUCUCUGUGUCUCCUGUCAUGUCCUUUUCAUCGCUCUUGAAAUCCACCUCAAUUUCUCCCUCAAUCUUUGUAAUAAUUACAAGGUAAUUUUGCUGUUAUAUGUAUUUUCCCUUUGCAUUUGCAACUACUGUCAUCUCCAAUGUAAGCCAAUGUAAGAACAUGUAUUAAAGCAAAUCAUUUCUGUAAUGUGAAUUAAAUCAUCUGCCACAAUCAGAAACCAAUAAAAUGUAUAAAUGGAUCUACCGGCAAUUGUUAAUUGGGUAGAAAUGUGUCGAUUAUCUACAUUGUGUGCAAAUCCUCAGAGAAUCCCUGACCUCUGGUUGUUUUUUAAACUGAAUGUACAAAUAUGAAUUAUGUAUUCUCAUUAGGAGUGUAGUCUAUCCUUGAAUUACAUGAAAUGGGGAAUAUUGUUAGCUGCAUGGAUCAUACCGAAGUUUAAUUUGGUGAAAUAUGUGUGGUCCGUUGCACUUGGUUCGGG